This 729-nucleotide long non-coding RNA is filed under the name Oreochromis niloticus (Nile tilapia). Its description in RNAcentral is "lncRNA (ENSONIG00000022701.2)". The record is from RNAcentral. Lineage: Eukaryota; Metazoa; Chordata; Actinopteri; Cichliformes; Cichlidae.
AUGUCCGCGCUGUUCGUCUUUGGAACCGGAAGUUACUCUGCCUGUAGCGCAUUUCUUUUGAAAAACGGCGGAAUGUUUUGUCCUAGCUAUGGGAAAAGUCUGGUUGAGGAGUCACCAAACUUUUGCAGCGGCUGUGGCGAGAGGCUUUAUCACGCAUCUUGCAUCGGAGACACUUCACUCCCAUUGACAUCACAGACUACCUCAAACUGCCCGACUCCAACCUUCAGCACCUUCUUAGAAUACAGAAAAAAGAAAAAUGAAGAGAGGCAAAAGUUUUCUGAAGGGAGGAAGGGCUUAAAGAAAAAGGAAAAAAGAAAGGUUCAGAUAAAUGUCGGCUUGAUGACCAUUAAAAAGGGUGGUUUGAAGCCAUACCGUGGAAAAACUAUUUUCCUAACAACAGACCCUGACGCUACUGCCACAAGUCUGCUCAAUCAAGCUGUUAAAAAAAUGAAGGACUUUAACAAAGAUCUAAAAGAUGGACCUUUCCUUCUUCUGUAUCCGGAUGGCACUGAGGUCAUUACUGUCCCUGGAACACAAAGACCAUUUACACUUGAGGCUUAUAAGGCUGAAGUUGGCAAGCCUUAUCAAAGAAUCACUGUUUUCAUCUGCUUGAAGAGUGACUUUGAAGAUGUUGGAGAAAACUCAGACUUGUCUGACUCUGACCCAGAGAUUGUUAUUAAAAGGCCCUCUGAGUUUGAUCUUGCUGAUACACUGGUAAGUACAAUUUAA